RNAcentral lists this ribosomal RNA (379 nucleotides) under uncultured bacterium. Its description in RNAcentral is "bacterial SSU rRNA". It matches the Rfam family "Bacterial small subunit ribosomal RNA", at positions 362 to 758 of the family's 1533-position model. The record is from RNAcentral.
UAUUGGACAAUGGGCGAAAGCCUGAUCCAGCAAUGCCGCGUGAGUGAUGAAGGCCUUAGGGUUGUAAAGCUCUUUUACCCGGGAUGAUAAUGACAGUACCGGGAGAAUAAGCUCCGGCUAACUCCGUGCCAGCAGCCGCGGUAAUACGGAGGGAGCUAGCGUUGUUCGGAAUUACUGGGCGUAAAGCGCACGUAGGCGGCUUUGUAAGUUAGAGGUGAAAGCCUGGAGCUCAACUCCGGAAUUGCCUUUGAUACUGCAUCGCUUGAAUCCAGGAGAGGUGAGUGGAAUUCCGAGUGUAGAGGUGAAAUUCGUAGAUAUUCGGAAGAACACCAGUGGCGAAGGCGGUUCACUGGACUGGUAUUGACGCUGAGGUGCGAAA